UACGGAGGGCGCAAGCGUUGUUCGGAAUCACUGGGCGUAACGCGCGUGCAGGCGGCUUGGUAAGUCGGGUGUGAAAUCCCGGAGCUCAACUCCGGAACUGCAACCGAUACUGCCUCGCUAGAGUCCCGGAGAGGAUGGCGGAAUUUCUGGUGUAGAGGUGAAAUUCGUAGAUAUCGGAAGGAACACCAGGGUCGAAGGCGGCCAUCUGGACGGUGACUGACGCUCAGACGCGAAAUCGCUGGGAGCAAAUAGU
This 253-nucleotide ribosomal RNA is filed under the name uncultured bacterium. RNAcentral describes it as "partial 16S ribosomal RNA". It matches the Rfam family "Bacterial small subunit ribosomal RNA", at positions 524 to 776 of the family's 1533-position model. The record is from RNAcentral.